RNAcentral lists this ribosomal RNA (147 nucleotides) under Triticum aestivum (bread wheat). RNAcentral describes it as "partial small subunit ribosomal RNA". The record is from RNAcentral. Lineage: Eukaryota; Viridiplantae; Streptophyta; Magnoliopsida; Poales; Poaceae.
AUGAGCAGUCCAACCUCUUGUACGUGCAGGUAUGGAAGUAUUUAUAGGGGCAGGAGAGCAGCAGAUUCUCUGGUGGGCGCACCCACGUUCCUGAUCAUGGGGUCGUGCAUGAGAUCAUGGGAGCGGCCGGCUGGCUUCUUUCUUUAA